UACGUACCGUCCAAACGUUAUUCGGAAUUACUGGGCUUAAAGGGUACGUAGGCGGCGCUGUCAGUCGGGUGUGAAAUCCCUCGGCCCAACCGAGGAACUGCGCCCGAUACUGCAGUGCUUGAGGGAGACAGAGGUAAGCGGAACUGAUGGUGGAGCGGUGAAAUGCGUUGAUAUCAUCAGGAACACCAGUGGCGAAAGCGGCUUACUGGGUCUCUUCUGACGCUGAGGUACGAAAGCUAGGGGAGCAAACGGG
RNAcentral lists this ribosomal RNA (253 nucleotides) under uncultured bacterium. RNAcentral describes it as "partial 16S ribosomal RNA". It matches the Rfam family "Bacterial small subunit ribosomal RNA", at positions 524 to 776 of the family's 1533-position model. The record is from RNAcentral.